This 280-nucleotide ribosomal RNA is filed under the name uncultured bacterium. RNAcentral describes it as "partial 16S ribosomal RNA". It matches the Rfam family "Bacterial small subunit ribosomal RNA", at positions 506 to 784 of the family's 1533-position model. The record is from RNAcentral.
UGCCAGCAGCCGCGGUAAUACGGAGGAGGCAAGCGUUGUUCGGAAUCACUGGGCUUAAAGAGUGUGUAGGCGGGAUAGAAGGUACCAUAGUGAAAGCCCUCGGCUCAACCGAGGAACUGCUUGGUAAACCACUAUUCUUGAGGCCGACAGGGGUACCUGGAACUUUGGGUGGAGCGGUGAAAUGCGUAGAUAUCCAAGGGAACGCCGGUGGCGAAAGCGGGGUACUGGGUCUUUACUGACGCUGAGGCACGAAAGCUAGGGGAGCGAACGGGAUUAGAUA